RNAcentral lists this ribosomal RNA (510 nucleotides) under uncultured bacterium. RNAcentral describes it as "partial 16S ribosomal RNA". It matches the Rfam family "Bacterial small subunit ribosomal RNA", at positions 28 to 507 of the family's 1533-position model. The record is from RNAcentral.
GACGAACGCUGGCGGCGUGCUUAACACAUGCAAGUCGAACGAAGAGCGAUGGAAGCUUGCUUCUAUCAAUCUUAGUGGCGAACGGGUGAGUAACGCGUAAUCAACCUGCCCUUCAGAGGGGGACAACAGUUGGAAACGACUGCUAAUACCGCAUACGAUCUAAUCUCGGCAUCGAGGAUAGAUGAAAGGUGGCCUCUACAUGUAAGCUAUCACUGAAGGAGGGGAUUGCGUCUGAUUAGCUAGUUGGAGGGGUAACGGCCCACCAAGGCGAUGAUCAGUAGCCGGUCUGAGAGGAUGAACGGCCACAUUGGGACUGAGACACGGCCCAGACUCCUACGGGAGGCAGCAGUGGGGAAUCUUCCGCAAUGGACGAAAGUCUGACGGAGCAACGCCGCGUGAGUGAUGACGGCCUUCGGGUUGUAAAGCUCUGUUAAUCGGGACGAAAGGCCUUCUUGCGAAUAGCGAGAAGGAUUGACGGUACCGGAAUAGAAAGCCACGGCUAACUACGUG